GUUCUCUUAUCUGUCCGUUGUUCUUGGCUGAUCUCGAAUCAGAUUUUAUCGCUGAAUUACUGAACUACAAGAAAGUAUCAGUCCCAGCACAGUGUAUUAGAGCUCAGCUGGUCUCCCGAUCAAGUUUUGAGUAAUUUUAUUGAUAAUUUAUGGUAUCAUCUUCCUACAAGAAUAUCAACAACGACCGAUGCUCUUACUACCUGCAUGCCAAAAUAUAAUGGACCAGGAGUAAAAUUAUCGUAUAUACAUUAUUAUUAAUAAUUACGAAUUGCUUAGUUGACUGUUCGCAAUUAACCAUUGUAUUCUACACAAAUAAAUUAAAUAAGUGUGGGUUUCGGACUACUAUAAAUGAUUGUUUCAAUAUAUAUGUUCAACUCCAAGCUUGAUACCGAACUGAGAACUCGAUAGUAGAGCUCCACUUACUGUCCCUAAGAUAUGGAUAACAUUGAGAUAAUGUUUUAGCUAAACGAUUCCCUUCCGUAUCAAAGUGAUGUGGGGACCGGAGAUCAGAAUAUUUUAUUAAUGCAUGUAAAAUAACGGAACUUAAUGUAGCGCCGAUGAUAAAACAUAUUUCUAGUGCCAUGCGUAAAUAUAGGAGAUUCGGAAUAUAACAAUUACUCGAUAACGCCGAACAUAGUACAGAUUUCCACGGACUUCGUUGAAAAAUUUGCCUCGGGUGCUUGGCUUGAAGUCAAAAAGCUGAUUAUGCUUUGUUAGCUUUAAAACUAUUCAUGAUACAGCUGAACGAACGCUGGACUUUUAAAUAUCCCGAAGGUAAGCAACAAGGCGUUAAAUAUGUUCGCAUUCAGAAAACAACUUCCACUCACCUUGAUUUAAAAUACUAAGCACAACGUACUGUCAACCUGACAAAAUAGAAUUCAAUUAAUAAAAUUUAUUUCCAACGAAUUUAAGCAUCAGAUCCAGUCGACUAAAAUUUUCAAUAUAAAUAAAAGCAA
Molecule: non-coding RNA, 956 nt
Organism: Schizosaccharomyces pombe (fission yeast)
Lineage: Eukaryota; Fungi; Ascomycota; Schizosaccharomycetes; Schizosaccharomycetales; Schizosaccharomycetaceae
Source: the annotation of a GenBank genome assembly